Long non-coding RNA from Monodelphis domestica (gray short-tailed opossum), 763 nucleotides. RefSeq lists it as uncharacterized. Lineage: Eukaryota; Metazoa; Chordata; Mammalia; Didelphimorphia; Didelphidae. The record is from RefSeq and is a predicted model, not a curated record.
CCUGAGGCUUAGGUUGCUUAACUAGUCCAUGCUCACAUAGUCAAUAGAAAAAUCAGGAUUUGAACCCAAAUUGUCUUUAUUUCAGGCCCAGCACUCUGUCAGCAUACUCUCUGGAACAUAUGCAGAUAAGUAAAUGCAAGAUAACUUGCAGAAGGAGAACCUACUAACAACUGAUGGGAGUCCCAGGGGUGGAGGGAAUCAGCAAAGGCUUCCCAGUGGAGACAGAGCCAUGCCAAGCCUGGAAGGAAGCUGAGGAGCCUAAGAGGCAGGAAUGAGAAGAGAAUCUAUCCCAGGAGAGCCCCAUGAAGGCAAACAUUGAUGAGAAACUCUUCGCUCCUCACAAGGAGGGAAAGGAGGACGAUGACAAGGACCACGAACCUACUAACAACUGAUGGGAGUCCCAGGGGUGGAGGGAAUCAGCAAAGGCUUCCCAGUGGAGACAGAGCCAUGCCAAGCCUGGAAGGAAGCUGAGGAGCCUAAGAGGCAGGAAUGAGAAGAGAAUCUAUCCCAGGAGGAGAUCAGGGGAGAGGAACGUUGGCAUGAGUAGGAGGCCAAGCCAGAGAACAUCAAGUGAGGUGGAACUCUUGCUGUCCCAACAGACGUGAUUAUAGAGAUGCCUGCCUCUGUGGACCAAGCUCCAACAGCAUGGGAGGGGGUAAGGAGCUGGGGAGCGGGGUGUGGCGUGGUGGAGAUGGCUAGCUGGUCCCUGUUCCUUCAGAGAGCCCAUGGGGGGAGGAAGGUGCCUCAUUGGGGAGAUGAGAAA